UACAUUUGAGUGAGUGGCGAACUGGUGAGUAACACGUGGGAAACCUGCCCAGAAGCGGGGGAUAACACCUGGAAACAGAUGCUAAUACCGCAUAACAACUUGGACCGCAUGGUCCGAGCUUGAAAGAUGGCUUCGGCUAUCACUUUUGGAUGGUCCCGCGGCGUAUUAGCUAGAUGGUGGGGUAACGGCUCACCAUGGCAAUGAUACGUAGCCGACCUGAGAGGGUAAUCGGCCACAUUGGGACUGAGACACGGCCCAAACUCCUACGGGAGGCAGCAGUAGGGAAUCUUCCACAAUGGACGAAAGUCUGAUGGAGCAACGCCGCGUGAGUGAAGAAGGGUUUCGGCUCGUAAAACUCUGUUGUUAAAGAAGAACAUAUCUGAGAGUAACUGUUCAGGUAUUGACGGUAUUUAACCAGAAAGCCACGGCUAACUACGUGCCAGCAGCCGCGGUAAUACGUAGGUGGCAAGCGUUGUCCGGAUUUAUUGGGCGUAAAGCGAGCGCAGGCGGUUUUUUAAGUCUGAUGUGAAAGCCUUCGGCUCAACCGAAGAAGUGCAUCGGAAACUGGGAAACUUGAGUGCAGAAGAGGACAGUGGAACUCCAUGUGUAGCGGUGAAAUGCGUAGAUAUAUGGAAGAACACCAGUGGCGAAGGCGGCUGUCUGGUCUGUAACUGACGCUGAGGCUCGAAAGUAUGGGUAGCAAACAGGAUUAGAUACCCUGGUAGUCCAUACCGUAAACGAUGAAUGCUAAGUGUUGGAGGGUUUCCGCCCUUCAGUGCUGCAGCUAACGCAUUAAGCAUUCCGCCUGGGGAGUACGGCCGCAAGGCUGAAACUCAAAGGAAUUGACGGGGGCCCGCACAAGCGGUGGAGCAUGUGGUUUAAUUCGAAGCUACCGAAGAACCUUACCAGGUCUUGACAUACUAUGCAAAUCUAAGAGAUUAGACGUUCCCUUCGGGGACAUGGAUACAGGUGGUGCAUGGUUGUCGUCAGCUCGUGUCGUGAGAUGUUGGGUUAAGUCCCGCAACGAGCGCAACCCUUAUUAUCAGUUGCCAGCAUUAAGUUGGGCACUCUGGUGAGACUGCCGGUGACAAACCGGAGGAAGGUGGGGAUGACGUCAAAUCAUCAUGCCCCUUAUGACCUGGGCUACACACGUGCUACAAUGGAUGGUACAACGAGUUGCGAACUCGCGAGAGUAAGCUAAUCUCUUAAAGCCAUUCUCAGUUCGGAUUGUAGGCUGCAACUCGCCUACAUGAAGUCGGAAUCGCUAGUAAUCGCGGAUCAGCAUGCCGCGGUGAAUACGUUCCCGGGCCUUGUACACACCGCCCGUCACACCAUGAGAGUUUGUAACACCCAAAGUCGGUGG
This 1363-nucleotide ribosomal RNA is filed under the name Lactiplantibacillus plantarum subsp. plantarum. RNAcentral's name for it is "bacterial SSU rRNA". It matches the Rfam family "Bacterial small subunit ribosomal RNA", at positions 82 to 1433 of the family's 1533-position model. The record is from RNAcentral. Lineage: Bacteria; Bacillati; Bacillota; Bacilli; Lactobacillales; Lactobacillaceae.